RNAcentral lists this non-coding RNA (75 nucleotides) under Limnochorda pilosa. RNAcentral's name for it is "Fluoride sequence". It matches the Rfam family "Fluoride riboswitch aptamer (crcB RNA motif)". The record is from RNAcentral. Lineage: Bacteria; Bacillati; Bacillota; Limnochordia; Limnochordales; Limnochordaceae.
CGCUGCCCCGGCGAUGGAGCUCGCCGUUGCCCUCAGGCAAGGUCCCGGGAUCCGGGUGAUGGCUCCUACCAGCAC